AAAACGACUCUCGGCAACGGAUAUCUCGGCUCUCGCAUCGAUGAAGAACGCAGCGAAAUGCGAUACUUGGUGUGAAUUGCAGGAUCCCGCGAACCAUCGAGUUUUUGAACGCAAGUUGCGCCCAAAGCCUUUUGGCCGAGGGCACGUCUGCCUGGGUGUCAC
Molecule: ribosomal RNA, 162 nt
Filed under: Triadica sebifera (Chinese tallow)
Lineage: Eukaryota; Viridiplantae; Streptophyta; Magnoliopsida; Malpighiales; Euphorbiaceae
Description: 5.8S ribosomal RNA
Rfam family: 5.8S ribosomal RNA
About the family: 5.8S ribosomal RNA (5.8S rRNA) is a component of the large subunit of the eukaryotic ribosome. It is transcribed by RNA polymerase I as part of the 45S precursor that also contains 18S and 28S rRNA. Functionally, it is thought that 5.8S rRNA may be involved in ribosome translocation.
Source: RNAcentral